This 83-nucleotide transfer RNA is filed under the name Natrarchaeobaculum aegyptiacum. RNAcentral describes it as "Natranaerobius sp. JW/NM-HA 15 tRNA". It matches the Rfam family "tRNA". From Rfam's summary of the family: Transfer RNA (tRNA) molecules are approximately 80 nucleotides in length. Lineage: Archaea; Methanobacteriati; Methanobacteriota; Halobacteria; Halobacteriales; Natrialbaceae. The record is from Rfam by way of RNAcentral. RNAcentral also lists the same sequence under 15 other names.
GCGAGGGUAGCCAAGCGGCCAACGGCGGCGGACUCAAGAUCCGCUCUCGUAGGAGUUCGUGGGUUCGAUUCCCUCCCCUCGCA